RNAcentral lists this ribosomal RNA (348 nucleotides) under uncultured bacterium. RNAcentral describes it as "bacterial SSU rRNA". It matches the Rfam family "Bacterial small subunit ribosomal RNA", at positions 32 to 356 of the family's 1533-position model. The record is from RNAcentral.
AGUCAACGCUGGCGGCGUGCCUCAGACAUGCAAGUCGAACGCGAAAGUUCCCUUCGGGGAGCAAGUAGAGUGGCGCACGGGUGAGUAACACGUAGGUAAUUUGCCUUCGGGUGGGGAAUAACAGUCGGAAACGACUGCUAAUACCGCACAAUGCAGCGGCUCGACAUCGAGACAGUUGUUAAAGCGGGGGAGUCCUUCGGGACCUCGCGCCUGAAGAGAAGCCUGCGGCAGAUUAGCUAGUUGGUGAGGUAAUGGCCCACCAAGGCUACGAUCUGUAACCGGCCUGAGAGGGCGGUCGGUCACACUGACACUGACAUACGGGUCAGACUCCUACGGGAGGCAGCAGUC